RNAcentral lists this long non-coding RNA (357 nucleotides) under Rattus norvegicus (Norway rat). Its description in RNAcentral is "long non-coding RNA NONRATT018751". The record is from RNAcentral. Lineage: Eukaryota; Metazoa; Chordata; Mammalia; Rodentia; Muridae.
CCCGUUCCGAGUCCGGAGUGAUGGUAGGGCACAGCCUGCCCCCUCCUGCAGCGGAGCAGGCAGAGCGCACGUAGGCAGUCAAUUAAGGAGACCUUGGAGCCAGGCGCAGAGCAUCUGCUUAGAGGUCUGGGCUAACCGCCCUGCGAUGUUUUCCAGAGCUACCCGGAGUCUGGUAAUGAAGACAGGAGGACUCAGAACUCAAGGGACACACAGCCCAGGAAGUGCUGCUAGCAGCAGCCAGCGGAGGAUGACCCCCUAUGUUGACUGCUAUGCUCAGCGCUCCUAUCCCAUGCCGGAUGAGCCUUACUGCACAGAGCUCAGCGAGGAGCAGCGGGCCCUGAAGGAGAAAGAGAAGGG